Molecule: ribosomal RNA, 492 nt
Filed under: uncultured bacterium
Lineage: Bacteria
Description: partial 16S ribosomal RNA
Rfam family: Bacterial small subunit ribosomal RNA
Source: RNAcentral
AGUGAACGCUGGCGGUAGGUCUAACACAUGCAAGUCGAACGGCAGCACAGUAAGAGCUUGCUCUUACGGGUGGCGAGUGGCGGACGGGUGAGGAAUACAUCGGAAUCUACUUUUUCGUGGGGGAUAACGUAGGGAAACUUACGCUAAUACCGCAUACGACCUACGGGUGAAAGCAGGGGAUCUUCGGACCUUGCGCGAUUGAAUGAGCCGAUGUCGGAUUAGCUAGUUGGCGGGGUAAAGGCCCACCAAGGCGACGAUCCGUAGCUGGUCUGAGAGGAUGAUCAGCCACACUGGAACUGAGACACGGUCCAGACUCCUACGGGAGGCAGCAGUGGGGAAUAUUGGACAAUGGGCGCAAGCCUGAUCCAGCCAUACCGCGUGGGUGAAGAAGGCCUUCGGGUUGUAAAGCCUUUUUGUUGGGAAAGAAAAGCAGCAGGUUAAUACCCCGCUGUUCUGACGGUACCCAAAGAAUAAGCACCGGCUAACUUCGUG